RNAcentral lists this ribosomal RNA (1604 nucleotides) under Salmonella enterica. RNAcentral describes it as "partial 23S ribosomal RNA". It matches the Rfam family "Bacterial large subunit ribosomal RNA", at positions 1217 to 2803 of the family's 2925-position model. Lineage: Bacteria; Pseudomonadati; Pseudomonadota; Gammaproteobacteria; Enterobacterales; Enterobacteriaceae. The record is from RNAcentral.
UGCGUUGUUGGGUAGGGGAGCGUUCUGUAAGCCUGCGAAGGUGGCCUGUGAGGGUUGCUGGAGGUAUCAGAAGUGCGAAUGCUGACAUAAGUAACGAUAAAGCGGGUGAAAAGCCCGCUCGCCGGAAGACCAAGGGUUCCUGUCCAACGUUAAUCGGGGCAGGGUGAGUCGACCCCUAAGGCGAGGCCGAAAGGCGUAGUCGAUGGGAAACGGGUUAAUAUUCCCGUACUUGGUGUUACUGCGAAGGGGGGACGGAGAAGGCUAUGUUGGCCGGGCGACGGUUGUCCCGGUUUAAGCGUGUAGGUGUGUGUUCCAGGUAAAUCCGGUUCACUUUAACACUGAGGCGUGACGACGAGGCACUACGGUGCUGAAGCAACAAAUGCCCUGCUUCCAGGAAAAGCCUCUAAGCAUCAGGUAACAUCAAAUCGUACCCCAAACCGACACAGGUGGUCAGGUAGAGAAUACCAAGGCGCUUGAGAGAACUCGGGUGAAGGAACUAGGCAAAAUGGUGCCGUAACUUCGGGAGAAGGCACGCUGACACGUAGGUGAAGUGAUUUACUCAUGGAGCUGAAGUCAGUCGAAGAUACCAGCUGGCUGCAACUGUUUAUUAAAAACACAGCACUGUGCAAACACGAAAGUGGACGUAUACGGUGUGACGCCUGCCCGGUGCCGGAAGGUUAAUUGAUGGGGUCAGCGCAAGCGAAGCUCCUGAUCGAAGCCCCGGUAAACGGCGGCCGUAACUAUAACGGUCCUAAGGUAGCGAAAUUCCUUGUCGGGUAAGUUCCGACCUGCACGAAUGGCGUAAUGAUGGCCAGGCUGUCUCCACCCGAGACUCAGUGAAAUUGAACUCGCUGUGAAGAUGCAGUGUACCCGCGGCAAGACGGAAAGACCCCGUGAACCUUUACUAUAGCUUGACACUGAACAUUGAGCCUUGAUGUGUAGGAUAGGUGGGAGGCUUUGAAGUGUGGACGCCAGUCUGCAUGGAGCCGACCUUGAAAUACCACCCUUUAAUGUUUGAUGUUCUAACGUGGACCCGUGAUCCGGGUUGCGGACAGUGUCUGGUGGGUAGUUUGACUGGGGCGGUCUCCUCCUAAAGAGUAACGGAGGAGCACGAAGGUUGGCUAAUCCUGGUCGGACAUCAGGAGGUUAGUGCAAUGGCAUAAGCCAGCUUGACUGCGAGCGUGACGGCGCGAGCAGGUGCGAAAGCAGGUCAUAGUGAUCCGGUGGUUCUGAAUGGAAGGGCCAUCGCUCAACGGAUAAAAGGUACUCCGGGGAUAACAGGCUGAUACCGCCCAAGAGUUCAUAUCGACGGCGGUGUUUGGCACCUCGAUGUCGGCUCAUCACAUCCUGGGGCUGAAGUAGGUCCCAAGGGUAUGGCUGUUCGCCAUUUAAAGUGGUACGCGAGCUGGGUUUAGAACGUCGUGAGACAGUUCGGUCCCUAUCUGCCGUGGGCGCUGGAGAACUGAGGGGGGCUGCUCCUAGUACGAGAGGACCGGAGUGGACGCAUCACUGGUGUUCGGGUUGUCAUGCCAAUGGCACUGCCCGGUAGCUAAAUGCGGAAGAGAUAAGUGCUGAAAGCAUCUAAGCACGAAACUUGCCCCGAG